Molecule: ribosomal RNA, 191 nt
Filed under: uncultured bacterium
Lineage: Bacteria
Description: partial 16S ribosomal RNA
Rfam family: Bacterial small subunit ribosomal RNA
Source: RNAcentral
ACGCUCGACACCUACGGGAUGCAGCAGUGGGGAAUAUUGCACAAUGGGGGAAACCCUGAUGCAGCGACGCCGCGUGAGCGAAGAAGUAUUUCGGUAUGUAAAGCUCUAUCAGCAGGGAAGAAACUGACGGUACCUGACUAAGAAGCACCGGCUAAAUACGUGCNNNCGCGUAGUAUNGNGGCGNGNGAGAG